UAUCUCAACCUUACUGUAGAUUGAACUGAACAUUUAAAUUUUCAAUUAGUGAGUUGCUUAUGAAAUUGAAAUUAAAGUUGAAUGCGUUACCUUCUGUUGGACCAAAAGCGAAUGAUCAGAUACACAGACAAUGUUAUUUUCAAAUGAAUUUUUUGAAAUUUUCAAAUCAAACAUUUUAUUUUUCAUAAGUGUUGUCACUUAAACCUGCAUUUUUCGCGCCUUGCUCUUCAUUAUCUAUGAGCUCUUGGUUAACUUUCAUCAAACCCUAUUCAUUAAAUAUCUAAACAUAAUAAUUUAAUCAAUAAAGUUCAAAUCCCACUUUUGAGAAAAAAAUUCAUGCUCAGGUUGAUCAGUAAUUCAUUAGCUUUUUCGAGAGUCGAAGCCAUUUCAAGUGAUCAUGAAAGAAUGAUUGAAAUAAAAACAAAUAGAUCAUGAUAAUCACUAAUCAAUGAUAAUUUUUAUAACUGAUUACGUUCUGCAUUAAAAACAAAAACAAUCAAUUUAAGCCUUUGAAGACUGUGAGAACGAUUAGAUCAGAUCUAUUUCAGGAAAAUAACAGGCCAUAUUGAUAUAAAAUGUUUUUGUUUAUAAUCAACAAUCAGAUAUCAUUUAAUGCGUAUUCAUGAGUGUCUAUCAAUUUUCCUAUUUAAAGUCAAUCUGUACUAUGCACAGUAUCAUACAUCGAUAAAAUUCAAAUUUUGUCAUUGUUCUGCUUAAUUUAAUCAUUGUUUAACUUGAUAAUCAAAUAUAAUGGAUCCUUCCAACACAACUAACCAGUUUAACGUAACCCAAACCCCAAUUGGCUCAGGCCACAACAGGCCGCAUACAGACUAUCAAGGGACUAUGACCAAGACUGAUCCUGGUAAUCAUGCAAACCAAAUGAAUCCAAACAAUUCUGUUUACGACAGUGGCCGAGGUGGAGAUGAAAAGGGACCAUGAGCUUAUUCCAAGAUUCCAUGAGGCGGUUUUUUCUCAUACAUUUUCUUAGCAGCUUACAUCUAUUGAAU
This is a long non-coding RNA of Tetranychus urticae (two-spotted spider mite), 1007 nucleotides long. RefSeq lists it as uncharacterized. The record is from RefSeq and is a predicted model, not a curated record. Lineage: Eukaryota; Metazoa; Arthropoda; Arachnida; Trombidiformes; Tetranychidae.